This 205-nucleotide long non-coding RNA is filed under the name Penaeus japonicus. Its description in RNAcentral is "uncharacterized LOC122251890". Lineage: Eukaryota; Metazoa; Arthropoda; Malacostraca; Decapoda; Penaeidae. The record is from RNAcentral.
CAUUGUGAUACUUAUUUGUAACCUAAAGUACAAGAGAGAGAGAAUUGUUGAAUAAUUUUCCUCCAUAUUACCCUUUAAUUAGUCCUUAAUUACAUCAUAGCCAUUAACUAAGGAGUGAAGAUCAGAGCGAGGGACGAGCGAGGCGGCUUCCGCUGCUGAUGACACAAUCGAGGAGGCUGGGGUGCUGAUGAGACAGUAAGUGCGG